RNAcentral lists this ribosomal RNA (371 nucleotides) under uncultured bacterium. RNAcentral's name for it is "bacterial SSU rRNA". It matches the Rfam family "Bacterial small subunit ribosomal RNA", at positions 527 to 896 of the family's 1533-position model. The record is from RNAcentral.
GUAGGUGGCAAGCGUUGUCCGGAUUUACUGGGCGUAAAGAGCGCGCAGGCGGUCGUUCAAGUCGCGUGUGAAAGCCCCCGGCUCAACUGGGGAGGGUCACGCGAUACUGAUCGACUCGAAGGCAGGAGAGGGAAGUGGAAUUCCCGGUGUAGUGGUGAAAUGCGUAGAUAUCGGGAGGAACACCAGUGGCGAAGGCGACUUCCUGGCCUGUUCUUGACGCUGAGGCGCGAAAGCUAGGGGAGCAAACGGGAUUAGAUACCCCGGUAGUCCUAGCCGUAAACGAUGGACACUAGGUGUUGGUGGUAUCAACCCCGCCAGUGCCGAAGCUAACGCAUUAAGUGUCCCGCCUGGGGAGUACGGCCGCAAGGCUA